AAUGAGGCUGCAGGCUGUUGUUUAUGUUAGCCUUGAUUUUGUAAUGUAAUGGGAAGGUUGAAUGGGGAGAUUGUUGUUUUUUCUUUUGGACAGUUGGUUUGAUUUUGGGCUGACUUGUUGGGGGAGACUUUGAGCUGAAUGUAAUAUCUCAUCUCCCAACCUCUUUGGACUUUAAUAAUGUUGCUUGAAAAUUUAUCAUUUUGGUGUUGUUUAGGGCCACAAUCCAAUCUACAUCAUUAAUGUUAAUGAGCACAGAUACUGUUGAGCAAGGUUUAUUUGCACUCUUGAAAUUGUAUUAUAACGUAGAGACACCUUUAAACAAGGUUUAUUGGUAUGAUGGGAGUUAGUAUUUCAAACUACAAUGAUAAUGAUAUGUGAAACAAUACUUAGUCAUUUAUGAAUGAAAACUCCAAAAAG
This 417-nucleotide long non-coding RNA is filed under the name Cucumis sativus (cucumber). Its description in RNAcentral is "long non-coding RNA (CSAT_LNC000335)". Lineage: Eukaryota; Viridiplantae; Streptophyta; Magnoliopsida; Cucurbitales; Cucurbitaceae. The record is from RNAcentral.